Molecule: long non-coding RNA, 365 nt
Organism: Ailuropoda melanoleuca (giant panda)
Lineage: Eukaryota; Metazoa; Chordata; Mammalia; Carnivora; Ursidae
Exons: 3
Source: RefSeq, a predicted model, not a curated record
CCCUCAUCCCGACCCCGUGGCUCCUCCAUCAGCUGCCCCUUGUCACUCGGGCGCACACAGAAGAUGGGGAGAAGAGAAACCACAAACCAAGUAUGGCGUUGACUAAUCACCAUAUAAAGGUUUCAGAUUCGGUGUAUGGAACUUGUCCUGGAAGACGGGAUCCCGUCCUCGCAGAGUGUUGCUCUUGAGCUCGUACUGCAAUGCCUGCAGCUGUUAAUUCCAGUGCUGGUGCAGCACCUUCCUCGUCAACGUCUUGCUCACCCCACGUAUGGGCAGAGCGGUACUCCCAGUCCCCUUGAUCAAGAAACCUCUGAAUCCAAUCCCUCAAGGACUGCUCUGAUGCUCGCCAUCCCAGAUUGAUGCCG